This 502-nucleotide ribosomal RNA is filed under the name uncultured bacterium. Its description in RNAcentral is "partial 16S ribosomal RNA". It matches the Rfam family "Bacterial small subunit ribosomal RNA", at positions 30 to 523 of the family's 1533-position model. The record is from RNAcentral.
AUUGAACGCUGGCGGCAGGCUUAACACAUGCAAGUCGAGCGGGGUGAUGGUGCUUGCACUAUCACUUAGCGGCGGACGGGUGAGUAAUGCUUAGGAAUCUGCCUAUUAGUGGGGGACAACAUCUCGAAAGGGAUGCUAAUACCGCAUACGUCCUACGGGAGAAAGCAGGGGAUCACUUGUGACCUUGCGCUAAUAGAUGAGCCUAGGUCGGAUUAGCUUGUUGGUGAGGUAAUGGCUCACCAAGGCGACGAUCCGUAACUGGUCUGAGAGGAUGAGCAGUCACGCUGGAACUGAGACACGGUCCCGACUCCGACGGGAGGCAGCAGUGGGGAAUAUUGGACAAUGGGCGAAAGCCUGAUCCAGCCAUGCCGCGUGUGUGAAGAAGGUCUUCGGAUUGUAAAGCACUUUAAGUUGGGAGGAAGGGUUGUAGAUUAAUACUCUGCAAUUUUGACGUUACCGACAGAAUAAGCACCGGCUAACUCUGUGCCAGCAGCCGCCGUAA